ACGCUCGACACCUACGGGAGGAGCAGUGGGGAAUAUUGCACAAUGGGGGAAACCCUGAUGCAGCGACGCCGCGUGAGCGAAGAAGUAUUUCGGUAUGUAAAGCUCUAUCAGCAGGGAAGAAACUGACGGUACCUGACUAAGAAGCACCGGCUAAAUACGUGCCAGCAGCCGCGGUAAUCUGAGCGGGCUGGCAAGGC
Molecule: ribosomal RNA, 197 nt
Filed under: uncultured bacterium
Lineage: Bacteria
Description: partial 16S ribosomal RNA
Rfam family: Bacterial small subunit ribosomal RNA
Source: RNAcentral